Molecule: ribosomal RNA, 294 nt
Filed under: uncultured bacterium
Lineage: Bacteria
Description: partial 16S ribosomal RNA
Rfam family: Bacterial small subunit ribosomal RNA
Source: RNAcentral
GGAUUAGAUACCCUGGUAGUCCACGCCGUAAACGAUGAGUGCUAGCUGUCGGAACUUUAAGUUUCGGUGGCGCAGCUAACGCAUUAAGCACUCCGCCUGGGGAGUACGGUCGCAAGAUUAAAACUCAAAGGAAUUGACGGGGACCCGCACAAGCGGUGGAGCAUGUCGUUUAAUUCGAAGCAACGCGAAGAACCUUACCUAGGCUUGACAUCCUGAUUGUAUCUCUGAGAAACCAGAGAGUCAGUUCGGCUGGAUCAGUGACAGGUGCUGCAUGGCUGUCGUCAGCUCGUGCCG